Molecule: long non-coding RNA, 1261 nt
Filed under: Sus scrofa (pig)
Lineage: Eukaryota; Metazoa; Chordata; Mammalia; Artiodactyla; Suidae
Description: lncRNA (ENSSSCG00055016432.1)
Source: RNAcentral
AUGACAUCUGCAAAGACCCCUGGUCUUUUACAUCACAGGCUCUGGGGCUUCGGGACAACGACCUGUCUUUUGAGGGCCACCAUUCAACCAGCUACAAUCACCUUGAAAAAACAGUUUAUGGGAGUUCCCGUCGUGGCGCAGUGGUUAACGAAUCCGACUAGGAACCAUGAGCCUCAAGUAUCUGAGACCAAGGUCAUUCACGAUGCCUGGGCACACGGUUUCUCUCUCCCUGUGAUGUCGUUCUCGAGACCGCUCCUAUGACUGCUGCUGCGGAGACACGGAGCCAAUCCAGAGCGGACUGCCAGUGACGACACCAGUCGCCAAGGCCUCCAAGGGCCCAGAACAUAGUGGCGCCCUCUGGCGGGGAAAGGGAGGCAGUAUGUGAGAGACAGCCAAUCUGGUCAGCUGACUUCGGCCAAGUUCCAGUGCCUGGUGCAACACCCCCUGGCAACUCAAGUCACUUUCCAUCUCCAGAAACCCGACCAGAAGAGAGACAUGCUGAGAGGAAGCAAAGAUCAAGAAUCCUGGCAUCCAAUCAGAUACAGGAAUUAACGCAACAGCCGUCCAAUCAGAUGAGCGGAUCCAACCAAAUAGAGCAGGUAUCCAAGUAGAUGGGGCAGAGUUGCCAUGACGACUCGAGUCUCUACAGGGUUUGCAGGGUCCCCGCGCUCAGACGCUUUUGAGCGCCCCCUGGCGCUUGGCCCCUUACUCCAGCAAGCGCGUGCUGGCUGAAGGCAGCCAAUAAGGCCGGGUACAGCCUCCGUGACGUCACUAGUUGCGGAGCGGGCCCCCGGAGUGCGUGAGCUCGAAGGCGAGUUCGCGUGAGCUCUUGCGAGCCCGCGGGCGGGUCGCGCGCGCUUUCUCCAGUGCGGUGGUUGGUGCGCAUGCGCUCGUGUUUCUCUUUCUUUUUUUUUUUCAGCGUGAGGCGCGAUAAAAGGCGGGAAAGAGCCUGAGGCGAAGCGUGAGGUGAGACGACCAGGUGGACCAGGGGGACGACCGGGUUGACUGACGGACCCAUGGACGGAGGGGGACCCCCUCUGAGCCGGAAACGCUCUGGCAGAGGAUGUGGCCUCUUAAAAAAUCUUCCUGAGGGACAGAGCCCCAGAGAUGGCCCGACAGAGAAAGGCUAGAGGAAAGUGACGCCCCCUACACACACACACACACACACACACACACGCGACGGUGCAGCCAGUUAGAAAGUCGCAGGGGUGGAGACGCUGGAAGCGACGAAGGAAGACAUUGAGGUGCCCCGGGGAAGGAC